AGAUAGGGAACAAGAGAAAAAUUUUAGAAUUGGAGUGAUAGUGUCAGCACAAUAUUUUGGUGUCUACAACACCUGCGUUUUGGAAAAUGUGGCCUACCUAAGUUCCAUGACAUUGUGAGUUUUGGAAACUCCCUUUGCUUGAUAUGAGCGGAUUGGAUUGCAAAAUAAACAACGGUGGGCUGCCACGCUCAACGGUGCAUACAUUCCGGAUGCGCUGGUCACGCAUCACAUAAUAAUUCUGCCAGGAGUAGCAGAGUCGAGACUCGCGACGAGUGGAAGGCCGGAAGAGAGAAAGAAGCCAAAUAUAGGCCGAGAAACAAAAGAAAGCGACAAGGUCCUUCUCUUUCCACGUCCUUGUCUGUAUCUUCCCAUCUAAUCUCUUUAGGGUUUCCUGGUUUUUUUAAAAAAAAUUCAAAUCCAAUUGGGGUGAUAUUUGGAGUGCAAACAUUUCGCAGUAGGUCCCGGCAGAUAAACAGUACAGAUCUGGUACAUGUGUGCCGCGGGAAUAGAGUGGUUGAUGAAUUACUCGAUUCAAGCAAUUUCAGACCAGCUCGUUUCCGUUAUCAAUACCCUCGAUUUGCGAUGAAGCGAUGGAAGCGUUUGUAUGCCUGUCUAUAUGAGGACAGAAACUUUGAUACACUGGCAGUGUGAUGGGUGAUACACAUCCUUGGAAAUUACGUAGAA
Long non-coding RNA from Magnolia sinica, 684 nucleotides. RefSeq lists it as uncharacterized. Lineage: Eukaryota; Viridiplantae; Streptophyta; Magnoliopsida; Magnoliales; Magnoliaceae. The record is from RefSeq and is a predicted model, not a curated record. The transcript is spliced from 2 exons.